RNAcentral lists this ribosomal RNA (253 nucleotides) under uncultured bacterium. Its description in RNAcentral is "partial 16S ribosomal RNA". It matches the Rfam family "Bacterial small subunit ribosomal RNA", at positions 524 to 776 of the family's 1533-position model. The record is from RNAcentral.
UACAGAGGGUGCAAGCGUUAAUCGGAAUUACUGGGCGUAAAGCGUGCGUAGACGGUUAUGUAAGUCGGGUGUGAAAGCCCCGGGCUCAACCUGGGAAUUGCAUUCGAGACUGUGUAGCUAGGGUACGGAGGAGGGAAGCGGAAUUUCAGGUGUAGCGGUGAAAUGCGUAGAUAUCUGAAGGAACACCAGUGGCGAAAGCGGCUUCCUGGUCCAGUACCGACGUUCAGGCACGAAAGCGUGGGGAGCAAACAGG